AGUAAAAGUCGUAACAAGGUUUCCGUAGGUGAACCUGCGGAAGGAUCAUCAUAGUAGACUUUUGGUCUUUGAUUUGACUUGUCUUAGGACUUGUCUAUUUGGUUGGCUUGUCGGUUUUGUGCACGAUUUGGAAGGAUUUCGUACGUUGAUCAUUCAGAUUAGGGUUAGGGCUAGCCUUGGGGCUUUCCUCCUAUCGUCUAAGCCUCACUAGCUUUUACGGAAUGAUCAGGUUCUUUGCUGUGGUUAGGGUUAGUGACCUGGAUAAGGGCGAUUGUUGUUGAGGUUAUUACUUAUGUAAUGUGUACACUCCUCAGCUUCAGUCAAACUUGUCUAAUACCCGCGGUUGUUCUAAACAACUGUUUAAAGGACUAGUGAUGGGUAGGGGAGUAUCCCCGGGACUCAAAAGGUCUCUAUUACCCUUGUGGCUACUAGAUAGUCUUCGCCAGACUAUUGAAGGACUUGCAGAGCGAUACGUUCAGUGGCUCUGUCUGCAUCUCUUGCAGGCCCGCGUAGACACAAGUAAAGUACCCAUUAGAAAGACUUCACUUUACUCUGAUUGAACCUAGACUGUUGUUGUAACUAUACAACUUCUGGCAACGGAUCUCUCGGCUCUUGCAUCGAUGAAGAACGCAGCGAAUUGCGAUAACUGUUGUGAAUUGCAGAUCUCCAGUGAAUCAUCGAGUCUUUGAACGCACCUUGCACCCUUUGGUAUUCCGAAGGGUACACCUGUUUGAGGGUCAUUUUAGUCAUCAAUGAGAGUUUUACUAUCAUUGGAUUUGGGCAAUGCUGGCUUGCUAGCUUGUCUCAAAUAGUUGAUUAGGUCUAUGCGUAUGUAAUCUACUACGUAUUCUAAUUCCCUAAUCUCAGUCUUGACUUUU
This 878-nucleotide ribosomal RNA is filed under the name uncultured fungus. RNAcentral describes it as "eukaryotic LSU rRNA". The stretch from base 586 to 740 matches the Rfam family "5.8S ribosomal RNA". Lineage: Eukaryota; Fungi. The record is from RNAcentral.